Molecule: ribosomal RNA, 324 nt
Filed under: uncultured bacterium
Lineage: Bacteria
Description: bacterial SSU rRNA
Rfam family: Bacterial small subunit ribosomal RNA
Source: RNAcentral
AUUGAACGCUGGCGGCAGGCCUAACACAUGCAAGUCGAGCGGUAGAGAGGUGCUUGCAUCUCUUGAGAGCGGCGGACGGGUGAGUAAUGCCUAGGAAUCUGCCUAGUGGUGGGGGAUAACGUUCGGAAACGGACGCUAAUACCGCAUACGUCCUACGGGAGAAAGCGGGGGAUCUUCGGACCUCGCGCCAUUAGAUGAGCCUAGGUCGGAUUAGCUAGUUGGUGAGGUAAUGGCUCACCAAGGCGACGAUCCGUAACUGGUCUGAGAGGAUGAUCAGUCACACGUAGGAACUGAGACACGGUCCAGACUCCGUACGGGAGGCAG